This 614-nucleotide ribosomal RNA is filed under the name Ambassis kopsii. RNAcentral's name for it is "partial large subunit ribosomal RNA". It matches the Rfam family "Bacterial large subunit ribosomal RNA", at positions 1778 to 2589 of the family's 2925-position model. The record is from RNAcentral. Lineage: Eukaryota; Metazoa; Chordata; Actinopteri; Ambassidae.
CUCGGCAAACACAAGCCUCGCCUGUUUACCAAAAACAUCGCCUCUUGGCCCGCCUAAUAUAAGAGGUCCCGCCUGCCCUGUGACUAUAUGUUUAACGGCCGCGGUAUUUUGACCGUGCGAAGGUAGCGCAAUCACUUGUCUUUUAAAUGAAGACCCGUAUGAAUGGCAUAACGAGGGCUUAACUGUCUCCUUUUUCCAGUCAAUGAAAUUGAUCUUCCCGUGCAGAAGCGGGAAUAAUAACAUAAGACGAGAAGACCCUGUGAAGCUUACAGACGAAUAAACAGACCACACUAACCACCUCAAAUAAAAGAACCAAAGCACUGGCCCCUGUCUUAAUGUCUUCGGUUGGGGCGACCGCGGAGAAACAAAAAACCCCCAUGUGGAUUGGGAGCAUCUCACCCUCUUCCCUCCUAAAAUAAAGAGUUACACCUCUAAUAUAACAGAACAUUUGACCAAAUGAUCCGGUAAUACCGAUCAACGGACCGAGUUACUCCAGGGAUAACAGCGCAAUCCCCUUCUAGAGUCCAUAUCGACAAGGGGGUUUACGACCUCGAUGUUGGAUCAGGACAUCCUAAUGGUGCAGCCGCUAUUAAGGGUUCGUUUGUUCAACGAUU